CUUGGUGUGCUGGCCUGCCGCGUGAUCGUCUCUUUGGCGGUGACAUAAUCACUGGAAAUGCCGGCAUCUCCUGAGGACGGCGCAGGUUGCCUCACGUUUCGCUUGUUCCCUUCCACACAACCGACCACGUUGUCAGACACCUGAAGCUGCACUUUUGCCUUAGAAUGCAGCUGCUGAGCGCCUCGGCAUCCCAGUCCGACAAAUUGAGGUACGCCAUCACACCUGUUUCGCCGCACGGCUUCUAUAAUGCAUGUGCUUCUGGCGUCUUCGCUUCGGUCCUCUGAGGAGUGCCUGGUAUCACUAUAACUCAAUCACAGAACAAUGUGAUCCAGGAGGCGAGCAGUUCAACUGCAAUGGAUUUCCAACUAAGGCAGAGUGCCAAAAAAGGUUGUAACUGUAUUCAUAGGAAUGGCACAUACCCUGCCGACUGCGGUUGCCUCUGGGUAUACCCUUUCGGUGACGUAAUGGAGAACAUGUAUCAUCACAACGAUUUAACCAGGACGUGUGAUCUGCGUGCGAGGGAGUUCAACUGCAAUGCAUUUAAUACAAUGCAUGAAUGCCAGCAGAAAUGCAAUGUGGGAACAGGCAACCGACGGCUCAGGAAAAAAAGGCAGAGCAGAAGCAGAAGUUCUUCUGCUUGAAUGUAUC
Molecule: long non-coding RNA, 648 nt
Organism: Rhipicephalus sanguineus (brown dog tick)
Lineage: Eukaryota; Metazoa; Arthropoda; Arachnida; Ixodida; Ixodidae
Exons: 4
Source: RefSeq, a predicted model, not a curated record